Molecule: ribosomal RNA, 254 nt
Filed under: uncultured bacterium
Lineage: Bacteria
Description: partial 16S ribosomal RNA
Rfam family: Bacterial small subunit ribosomal RNA
Source: RNAcentral
GGCGUAGGGCGCGAGCGUUGUCCGGAUUUAUUGGGCGUAAAGAGCUCGUAGGCGGCUUGUCGCGUCGACUGUGAAAACCCGUGGCUCAACCAUGUGGUCUGCAGUCGAUACGGGCAGGCUAGAAUUCGGUAGGGGAGACUGGAAUUCCUGGUGUAGCGGUGAAAUGCGCAGAUAUCAGGAGGAACACCGGUGGCGAAGGCGGGUCUCUGGGCCGAUAUUGACGCUGAGGAGCGAAAGCGUGGGGAGCGAACAGG